Molecule: long non-coding RNA, 1445 nt
Organism: Oncorhynchus tshawytscha (Chinook salmon)
Lineage: Eukaryota; Metazoa; Chordata; Actinopteri; Salmoniformes; Salmonidae
Source: Ensembl
AGUAAAAAUAAAGAAAAACACUUGAAUGAGUAGGUGUGUCCAAACUUUUGACGGGUACUGUUUAUAUAUAAUGUAACAUGUCUCGCCUUGAAAAUGGCCAUUGAUAAACAGAACUUAAUUUAUGAACAAUUGUGUAUUCUUUAUUUUUCCCCAGACUGUUUUCUUGUCCUUUGCACUGAAGACAAAUGGCCAUUGACAAGGAUCCCUCUGUGCCAGUGUCUAUCCAACAUUGGUCAUCACCAUCACACACUCCCACUCCGCUAUCUGUACCAGAGGAUAAACAGAGCAGCUCCUACCCAGUCACGGCACCCAGCCUCUCCCUGAAUUGUAUGCAGUCAGUCAGUUUCCACCCAACCAAGUCUCUCACAUUCUAUUCUCCUCUCACUCCAAGUUAUUGAUUGCCAUGACUUGGGUGACAUCAUCACAGAUUUGAUCAUCAGCCUUAUGGAUUUUUUUGACAGACAAUUUACUCUGUUCUGUGCGUGGCCAUACGUCUCGCCAUCCAUACCCAAAAAUGUACACCGGGACAGGGUAUUUUGUGGGAGUCCUCUCUUCAGUGGGAUUGUUGGAAUAGGAUUGCUGGAUGGAAUAGGACCAACGUAAAGACAAUCGACUAUGUGACCGUGGGACUGCUGUUGUUUAGGCCAUGGUCUUGUCAGGGAGGGACCAGCUCUCACCCAAUGGGAGGAAGGAGACAUGUGAGGACACACACAUAUACACACUCUGGCACUCUGCCAAGUAAAUACCCUGACUUCAGCUGGUUAAAUGGUUUUAAAGUGUCAAAGGUUUAUAAUUAAGUAUUGACCUUCAUUCCUUCUGACAUUCCUGAAUGGAAUAUGCAUGCUUUUAAUUUGUAUGUUAGUAGUCUUUUAUUUUACUUAUUUAUUUUCUGACUGUUUUAACUGUUUACCAUCAACACAAGCAUGCUAAAAGCAAACACUCACAAACACAUUAAACAAAAGCUGCUACAGUAUUUCAAUGCACCGUCCGCAUGUUUGUCAGAACAGAGCAGUAGUGUAAUACACAUUUCUCUGUGCAUUAUUAUGUUGUGCAGUCUUUUGUUGGAAACAUACAUUUUACCAGUACGUACAUACUAUCCCAGCUCAUCCUUGGAACAGUGAACUCCAACAAAACGCUCCAUUUGCCUCCUAAUGCCAUGCUAAGGUCAUUUUUCCUAACCUACUAUCUCAAUGGUGUUAUAAACUCAGCUUAAAUCAAUAUAAUGAUGUAAAAGUCCAGUGGGCCAGAUUCAGGCUGGGAGCCCAUAAGGUCAGUAUGAAAUGCGCCUUCCUUUCCCAAUUGACCUCUGCCUUGGAUUCCCUCAGCCUCUAAAGUGUAGCAUCUACAUGCUGCUGAUUACUGAUGAUCACAGCUCUGCCUGCCUGCUACCACACUCUGCUGGGUAUACUCUCUGGUGGCUUGUACGUUGACAUAUUAUGGGGUGG